AUUCCAGCUCCAAUAGCGUAUAUUAAUGUUGUUGCAGUUAAAAAGCUCGUAGUUGGAUUUCUGCGUCGCGCAGGUCGGUCCGCCGCAUCGCGGUGCGACUGCACUGGAGCGUCGCAUCCUUGUGGAGACUGUUUCGGCCAUUAAUUUGGUUCGUUUCAGGAACCGCAUCGUUUACUGUGAAAAAAUUAGAGUGUUCAAAGCAGGCUUAUGCCGUGAAUACAUUAGCAUGGAAUAAUGAUUUAGGACUUCGGUUCUAUUUUAUUGGUUGCGGAACUGAAGUAAUGAUUGACAGGGAUAGUUGGGGGUGCUAGUAUUCAGCGGCCAGAGGUGAAAUUCUUGGAUUCGCUGAAGACUAACUUAUGCGAAAGCAUUCACCAAGGAUGUCUUCAUUA
This 392-nucleotide ribosomal RNA is filed under the name Cercozoa sp. RNAcentral describes it as "partial small subunit ribosomal RNA". It matches the Rfam family "Eukaryotic small subunit ribosomal RNA", at positions 582 to 975 of the family's 1831-position model. The record is from RNAcentral. Lineage: Eukaryota; Cercozoa.